GGAUGUGAGGGUGAUCUGGCUGCGACAUCUGUCGCCCCACUGAUCGCCAGGGUUGAUUUGGCUGAUCUGGCUGGCUAGGCGGGUGUCCUCUUCCUUCCUCACCACUCCCAUGUGCAUCCCUCCUGAAACUGUGCACUCUGGGGAAGAGGAGGGCCUUCCCCGAAUAGAGACAGACUGGUCUUUGGUCAGGGUAUAGGAGUAGCUGCGCUCCCCUGCUAGAACCUCCAAACAAGCUCUCAAAAGGUGAUUAUUGAUGCUUGGCUUUUCCCAUUAUUCUUUCUCCCUUCCCAAUAUUCCAAAAAAGCCUCUCUUUCAAAAACUUUUUG
Molecule: unclassified non-coding RNA, 326 nt
Organism: Erinaceus europaeus (western European hedgehog)
Lineage: Eukaryota; Metazoa; Chordata; Mammalia; Eulipotyphla; Erinaceidae
Gene: 7SK
Rfam family: 7SK RNA
About the family: 7SK was discovered as an abundant small nuclear RNA in the mid-70s but a possible function has only recently been suggested. Two independent studies have found that 7SK RNA binds the CDK9/cyclin T complex (known as elongation factor P-TEFb). P-TEFb activates transcription by phosphorylating the C-terminal domain of RNA polymerase II.
Source: Ensembl